CAAGGAUUUUAGAAUAACUGCACCUAGCAACAUUUUAUGCUCCAUAUAAUUAUCAUAUUCUGUAAAGCAGAUUUCACAAGUCUAUUAAGGCACAUCAACAUGCACAGAACAAGAUUAAACUUCGUAUGCUUUGAUAUCUUCACGAACCCUGAUGAAUCCUUUGUAUCUCGGUGUCUCAUGAGAUCCCCAAUAGCUUCUUUAUGUCAUGCUCGAGACUUAGAGGAGAAGUUGUGGGGUAGUAACGAUCAACAACUUGCCCGUCCUUAUUGACAAGGAAUUUGGCAAAGUUCCAUUGAAUAUCAUCACCAAAAAUUCCCCAUUUGCCAGACUUUAAGAACUUGUACAACAGAGAAGCAUUCUCACCAUUCACUUCCACCUUGCCAAAUAUGGGAAAUUCUGAUUUAAAGCGAGUGCAGACAAACUCUUGAAUCUCAUCAUUACUUCCUGGUUCCUCCUCACCAAAUUGAUUGCAUGGAAAUGCCAAUAUUUCAAGGCCUUGAUCUUUGUACUUCUCAUAUAACUGAUUCAGUUCUGUGUAAUUUGAGUUGGUCAUUCCACAUUUUGAAGCAACAUUAACAAUUAAUAAGACUUUUCCCUUGAAAAUGCUAAGAUCUACAUCAUUUCCAUUAGCAUCCUUGAUAAUGAAAUCAUAGACUGAUUCAGGAUACUUGGGGGGCUGGCUUGCCAUUAAACAAGCAAAAGAUAUAGAGAGGCCAGAGACAAGCGGGUAAUUGGCACCACAGCAAAAUAAAAGAACAGUUGAAGGAAGGGAAAGUUGAAAGAGAACAGAAUAAACAAAUAUGCUGCAAUUGCUUAAAUCGACUUUUGGAAUUGUAAUAUUCCCACACGUGUUUAGUCACAGUGGAUACACUUCUUGUUGGUGAAAGCCCUCCUGCCGUUGGAUUGAUAAUGGAGUCAACUUCUGGCUCCCUUCUCCAAAUAUUUUCAUUAUUAAUUAGGGUUAGGCUCUGGCUCAGUUUUCUCACUAGCGGGUUCAGGAUUGUUUCUAGAUAGA
RNAcentral lists this unclassified non-coding RNA (1015 nucleotides) under Hevea brasiliensis (rubber tree). Lineage: Eukaryota; Viridiplantae; Streptophyta; Magnoliopsida; Malpighiales; Euphorbiaceae. The record is from RNAcentral.